Long non-coding RNA from Sebastes umbrosus (honeycomb rockfish), 234 nucleotides. RefSeq lists it as uncharacterized. Lineage: Eukaryota; Metazoa; Chordata; Actinopteri; Perciformes; Sebastidae. The record is from RefSeq and is a predicted model, not a curated record. The transcript is spliced from 3 exons.
ACGCUACAUUUAGAAUAUUUUCACCGCUUUAUCUUGCCAUCAGACAGCCCUUCCCGAUGGAGAGCUGAACCAAAAGUAAAACUUAUCUAUGCUCUCUUCAAAGACAGCAGACUCCGUUGACAAAAACGGUAGAGAUAAGUUUCACCUUCAGUUCGUCAGAAAAUAUUCUUAAUUUAUAUAGCGUACACUUAAAUUGAUAUUGAUUCUUUUAGGUGAGUAAAAUCUUCCUGCUGA